CCUACGGGAGGCAGCAGUAGGGAAUUUUCGUCAAUGGGCGCAAGCCUGAACGAGCAAUGUCGCGUGAACGAGGAAGGUCUUCGGAUCGUAAAGUUCUGUUGAAGGGGAAAAAGAGCGGAGAGAGGAAAUGCUUUCUGAUUGAUAUUACCCUUCGAGGAAGUCACGGCUAACUACGUGCCAGCAGCCGCGGUAAUACGUAGGUGGCGAGCGUUAUCCGUAAUGAUGGGGCGUAAAGGGUGCGUAGGCGGCCUGCUAAGUCUGGAGUGAAAGGUACCGGCUCAACCGGUACAGGCUCUGGAAACUGGCGGGGUAGAGAGCAGGAGAGGGCGGUGGAACUCCAUGUGUAGCGGUAAAAUGCGUAGAUAUAUGGAAGAACCCCAGUGGCGAAGGCGGCCGCCUGGCCUGUUACUGACGCUGAGGCACGAAAGCGUGGGGAGCACAUAGGAUUAGAUACCCGAGUAGUC
RNAcentral lists this ribosomal RNA (464 nucleotides) under uncultured bacterium. RNAcentral's name for it is "partial 16S ribosomal RNA". It matches the Rfam family "Bacterial small subunit ribosomal RNA", at positions 338 to 795 of the family's 1533-position model. The record is from RNAcentral.